Molecule: long non-coding RNA, 594 nt
Organism: Aedes aegypti (yellow fever mosquito)
Lineage: Eukaryota; Metazoa; Arthropoda; Insecta; Diptera; Culicidae
Exons: 2
Source: RefSeq, a predicted model, not a curated record
GCGUUAUGUGAAAAGCUAGAUGGAAAAAAACUAUAUGUGUUUUCAGAUAAAUCUGAUAUGAUUCCUUGGUUCAGUGUAGCCUUCAAUCUUGUUCGUUGCCGGUAGCAAAACCCGCUAAACCAGAGAGGCUGAUUUCAAGAGUCAGAUAGAUGACGACCGCUUUAGGAGAUGGACAAAUCAAUCCGGAUGUCAAACUCAGAUUGGAGCGAAUGGAAAUUUCACUCUGGAUGAUGUUCAAAUAUUAGGACACGCCCUGCUUCCCGUUUGGCGACGUGGAGAUAUAAAAAUCUAAGCUGCCACCCACUGGAAUCUUAGAACUAGAUUGAAAUGAUUCGCAGUGCAAAUUUUGUGUACCUAUGUGUAUUUAUUGUUCAUUGACAACUGAAACUGAAAUUUUAUGAAUAAAACAUACUAAACAAGUAAGUACAUGUAGGAAAAUCUCACUUCAGUUGAAACUUUUGUAGCUAACGUAAGAUGUACACGAUACUUCCGGAACAUUUCAGUAAUUCAUGAAAAAGUAACGUAUUCUGUAAAAGUUUUAACUGAAGUGAGAUUGUUCUAACUGUAUUUACUUGUUUUAUUGUAUCCAACUCA